ACGGGAGGCAGCAGUGGGGGAUAUUGCACAAUGGGGGAAACCCUGAUGCAGCAACGCCGCGUGAAGGAAGAAGGUCUUCGGAUUGUAAACUUUUGUCCUUGGGGAAGAAUAGAUGACGGUACCCAUGGAGGAAGCCACGGCUAACUACGUGCCAGCAGCCGCGGUAAUACGUAGGUGGCAAGCGUUGUCCGGAUUUACUGGGUGUAAAGGGCGUGUAGACGGGAUUGCAAGUCAGAGGUGAAAUUUAUGGGCUCAACCCAUAACCUGCCUUUGAAACUGUGAUUCUUGAGUGAUGGAGAGGUAAGCGGAAUUCCUAGUGUAGCGGUGAAAUGCGUAGAUAUUAGGAGGAACACCGGUGGCGAAGGCGGCUUACUGGACAUUAACUGACGUUGAGGCGCGAAAGUGUGGGGAGCAAACAGGAUUAGAUACCCUGGUA
Molecule: ribosomal RNA, 436 nt
Filed under: uncultured Clostridium sp.
Lineage: Bacteria; Bacillati; Bacillota; Clostridia; Eubacteriales; Clostridiaceae
Also listed under: 1 other name
Description: partial 16S ribosomal RNA
Rfam family: Bacterial small subunit ribosomal RNA
Source: RNAcentral